Long non-coding RNA from Salvia miltiorrhiza (redroot sage), 426 nucleotides. RefSeq lists it as uncharacterized. Lineage: Eukaryota; Viridiplantae; Streptophyta; Magnoliopsida; Lamiales; Lamiaceae. The record is from RefSeq and is a predicted model, not a curated record. The transcript has 2 exons.
ACGGAUCGAUCCGCCCAUUGACCCGCGCCCCGACCCGCCGACCCACGCCCAUCUCCAACCAAUUUCUCCCCUUCUCUUUUCUCUCCAUCACUCUCCUUCUCUCACUCUCUAAUCUUCACAGUGUCACUCCCUCACCUCUCGGCCUCUCUUCUCCUCGCAGCCAGAAUCGAUGCCGCCCUCCCUUCUUCGGCCGACGAAGAAGGUGAUUAAUUUUGGAGAGAGAGGGAGGAAAGGGAGCGAUGGGGAGAGAGAAGGUGAUUAAUUUUGCAGUCGCUAUCUUUCAGAUGGGAUUCAGAUGAAGUCACAAGAAAUGGAGUCGGGGUUGGAGUUGGUAAAAUUGAAGAAGAAAUAUAAUGUUUCAAAAUUAUCACAUUUGUUCACGAUAAUAAUAAUUAUUAUUAUUUUUAAGAACUUUCACUUUUAGUU